AUGUUUCCUUAUGCCUGUGUGUCUGACACUGUGUAUAAAAAUUUGUCUAACGAUCUAAUUUUUCCAUCAGCAUUUUGCCAUUCUCUGCCAGCUGGCCACCACAGUGAAUGUCUACAGAUGCUUCUAUAUCCAUCAGGGACUCGAAUUUCUCAAAUGAAGAAGAUUUGAGCUGAAGUUAAUUAAGAGAGGCUAAACUGACCUAGAGAGAAGUGCAGUGUGAGA
RNAcentral lists this long non-coding RNA (222 nucleotides) under Cricetulus griseus (Chinese hamster). RNAcentral describes it as "lncRNA (ENSCGRG00000025787.1)". The record is from RNAcentral. Lineage: Eukaryota; Metazoa; Chordata; Mammalia; Rodentia; Cricetidae.